This 82-nucleotide transfer RNA is filed under the name Dreissena polymorpha. It matches the Rfam family "tRNA". From Rfam's summary of the family: Transfer RNA (tRNA) molecules are approximately 80 nucleotides in length. Their secondary structure includes four short double-helical elements and three loops (D, anti-codon, and T loops). Lineage: Eukaryota; Metazoa; Mollusca; Bivalvia; Myida; Dreissenidae. The record is from Rfam by way of RNAcentral.
GGUGUCGAAGCUUAGUGGUUAAGGCGAUAGACUAGAAAUAUUUUGGGAUAUUUCCGCGUAGGUUCGAAUCCUGCCGACGACA